This 4011-nucleotide long non-coding RNA is filed under the name Gallus gallus (chicken). Its description in RNAcentral is "lncRNA (ENSGALG00010023072.1)". Lineage: Eukaryota; Metazoa; Chordata; Aves; Galliformes; Phasianidae. The record is from RNAcentral.
GGAGUCUGUAACAAAAACCAGCAUGGGAGCUGCAAGCAGGUAUUUAAAUAGUUUGAGUGCGAGUGCGAAACUGGUUUAAAAAGCAUUUCCUGAAGGUACAAUCACUUCUGGCACCAGAGUAGAAACACUUAUGCAUAUUUCUGCACCCUGGGGCAGUUUUCAAGGAUGUUGCUAAUGUUAAAUUUGAACUAAAAGGGCUUUAAUUUUUCUUUUUGAUGGGAAGCACUCAUGCAAAUAAGAUAGCCUUUGGGCAGCUGUCUAUUUUUCCAUGUUUUUUUUCUUUCUUUUUUCCUUUUCGGAAGAAUGCCGAAAAUGGAAAUUUCCACACUGAAGUAACCUAUUUGGUCAUGUAUUUUUAGUGUGCCUGGAAACGUGAAGUAAAAUGCAAUCAGUGCUUAACUUAUCAUGCUUGUUUCUAUCCUGGCUUGAAAGGAUCCUUGUUUCACUUUGGCACUGUGUUGUAGCUGCUCCCAGACAGGGAAAUUGCAGCAACUUCCAUUUGUCCUUCACCUCAUGGCACAGUGCGCACAAGAUCUACGGGCAGUUAUCCUAGCUGAAAAUCAGAGCCAAGCUGCGGAAUGAAGACAGGAAAGCCCACUUCACAGAGGACAGGGAUGAAACCUCAUAAGUCAUCUGUCAGGGGGAGCUGAGCCCCAGCACGAUGUGAUGUGGAGGUGUGGUACGUGACAUCUGGGCACUCCCACUGCGCUGCUGGCUGCAGCCAUCUGAACGGAUGAAAUAAACCUCAGAGACAGCACAAUUAUGCACAUUUUAAGAUACAGAGAUUUAUAAAGCAUGAAGAAAAUUAUACUUUGAAGAUCUUUGCAGAGCUGUGAUUGUAAGAUCUACGGAGGGAUAUAUGCAGCUGAUGUGUCCCUAUGGUUUGUAUUUCUUAGGGGCAAACCCCCGUACUUGCUCAAGAAAAGUAGCAGCACAUGCUGCUUGAAUAUCCAUCUUCAUGGGACAGUAUUUGUGGAAGAAAGUGUGGUAAAGAUGCUAGAAAAAAAGCUCAAAAAAUGGUGGGGAGUUGGCAGGUGGCAGCUGCUGCUUGGGGACUGGUUGGGCAUCGGUUGGUGGGUGGUGAGCCGCUGCUUGUGCAUCAAUAGUUUUGUGUGUGUGUAUAUAUAUUAUAUUUUAUAUUAUUAUUACUAUUAUUUUUUUACUUUGUAUUUUCUGUCUUGAUACAUAGUUUUUAUUUCAACCUGUGAGUUCUCAUUUUUUUUUCCCUUGUAUAUCCUUACCUGACUACAGAAAAGAAAAGAAUAUUCUGCUUUCUGCAGCUCCACAAGCAAAUCCCCAGUAGCGAUACCACCACUGCAGCCUUAGGCUUUUUGUCUGCUACUGACCUGUCUCUCUGUUAUGUUGGUAGAAAGGUUUUGAGGGGCAACUUUAUCAGAUUUAGGCAGCAUUGCCCUCAUACAAAAGAUCAGCUAGGGUUGGACUGUUAAAGGGAUAUUGAUAGGUCCCUGAGUGCAGUGUCUCUUACAGAGCAGGGUUAGUUCUACCCAGACCUUCCCAACAGAUGGCUGUAGGGGCAUGCAUGAGCAGCUGCUGGAGGCCAUCUCCUCUUAAGUAAGAUGGAGUGUAAUUGGAGCUACAUCCCAGCAGCUCAGGCAUGACUGCUUGGAGAGGCUAAGAGACUGGAGAUAACACCUCAAAGGCCAGAGAGAAAAGCUGCUGUUCACCUCUCUGACAGACUGUGUUGCAUAUUGAGGCGUUUGACUGUUUUCAAGUCAUUGUUAUGAAGAACGUUUGCAGAAAAAACCUUGGCACUUGAUCUGAUUUCUCACAUUUCCCCCUCUGAACUCCACGCCCCUGAUGAAGAACCAGACAGGAACGGGACCGGCUGCUCUGUAUGGAGGAGGGCUACAGAGCAGUCUGUGAGAUGGUUCGCAUCACCACUUGCUGUACUGAAGGCAGCAGACAUAGAUGUUAAGCUCAGUGAAAAGAAACUGCAAUGCAGUGCAUCAGCAUCGGGAACAAUAAACAUAAAUCUGACACCUAAUAGUUCUUUCAGAGAAUUGAUUUAAAGUCUGGAUUAUUUCCCAUCCCGGGCAUGCAUCAUAUCCCCCAGCAGCAAACUGAAGGAUGUACCGUGACCCUAGUUACUACAGAAAUGUUCAUGGAUCAGAGACCCUGCAGUCAACCUUCUUGUUCUGACCAAUCAUUAACCAGGAGGAACAUUGUGGAGCUGCCGCUGCUUUUUCCUGAGUUACUUUAACAGACUGACCACAGGCAUGUUCCUUCGUCCUUAGAAGAGUUCCAGAAGAUUAGUCAGCUAAACCUGACAAGGCUUCUGGGAAGCUGGAAAGGACUUGGCUCAGCAUAUUAGGAACUAAGUGAUGAUGACAACCCUGUGGAUUUGUUCACUCCAUCCUAAAGAGGACUUCCCGUCAUAGUACUUUGUGCAUGGAUUUAGGAAAAUUUGAAUGAUUCAAGUAGAGAUCCAUGCGUCUCUCUGGCAUGUACUCCCCGAGGGAGCUGCAAUCAAAACUCCAGGGAUGGAAAGCCAGAGACAGAACCACAUGGAUGAAGCUCUGCAUUGCUCGAGAAUACCUCCUUCAGACACAUCAUCUUCUUCCCCUGCACUUGUCUUUCACGUACUUGAUUCUGGCAGUGGCAUUAUGAAGAACUACAGGACUGAAGCAGUAAUGACACUGCAUUCCCUGCAGAACAAAGAGCUGCUUCUGCCACGCUGUGCGUUGUGUUCCAUGACAGGCUUAUCCAGCAGAACCAGGGAAUAACCUAACCGGACCGAGACUGCAAAGGUAUGAGUGUUUUGGAGAACUAUCGUUUGAAGAAUGCAGCUGCUUUUCACUGGUUGGUAUCUACAUGUGUAUGGAGUUCUGUGCAGUGGUUGAAUGUGCAGCGCUUCGAGACCUUUCGGUACGCGGGGAGAUUAAGGAACCACAGAGCUUGAGAGAGAGGAGUUUGCAUCCCUUGUGAGAAUUCUGAUAUCCCUGUGUUCAUAUAUGUUGAUAUUCUCUUCUGAAUGGUGACCUGUUUACGUUGGAUGGAGCCUAAAGACCCAAAGACCCUGGAUAUCCUUGGACUGAGUUGCUUAAGGACACGUUGCUUUCCAAAGACCCUGAAGAAUGGUGUGCUACCAAGGAUUUUUCAGUCCCAGCUGGCAGCGGAGGGGCGGUCUGACAAAAUGGCACCUGACAUGGAACUGUGGAUGAGGAAAAGGUGUGGAAUUGAAUUCUUCCAUUCAGAAAAAAAAAUGCAUCUAUUGAAAUCUUGGUAUGUCUCUGGCUAUAGCACUGUCACCCUCUGGGCCAUGAAGCAGUGAACUGUUUCGCUACUCAGUAGCAAGGAAGUUAAGUUUGUCUAUCCUGGUGAGAUUUGAGGAGAAAAUCUGUUGCUGAGGACAAGAAGUGCCUGUAAGUUUGCCGGGCAGGACAAAUAUGAGCUCCCAUCUAUUGUGCUGGCCGUAGGAACAGACCAUCACCUCUCCCUUUCCCAGACUAAGCUCCAAUUAAUUUCCACUCAGAGGUAAACUCUGAUACUCGGAUACAGUGAACAAAUACAAGUAUUCAGACUGGCUCCUUUUAGGAGUAUGUGCAGCGGAACAGCUCUGCUCCCCCAGACAAAAUACUUUUUAUGUGAAGUAGGCUACAAUGAAAUUCAGUGACUCUGUUUCUUAGUAGCAGCAUCCACUAGGCAUUGUACUAAAUUUUAACAACGGAACUUAAAAUACUUAUUCAGAUUGGUGCUUCUGACUGUCCGUACAUUGCAAUGUCUGCAAUUAAAAUACAAAAGUAUGAGUAUUGAUUGCAAAAAUAACAUAUAGAUAGAAUAGAAUUCAUAUAGUUCAGAAAAUACUUAAGGUUUGUACAGUGAUGUGACUUUCUGAGGCAUCUAUGGUUAGUGGGCAGUAUUGGUGGCAGGUGGACGGUUGGACUAGAUGGUCUUAGAGGUUUUUUCCAACCUUAAUGAUUCUAUGAUCCUUGAAUACAAGAUAUUGCAUCUCAAGGACUCAUCUCCAGGCUUGCUUCCUAGCAAAUCGAU